Molecule: ribosomal RNA, 468 nt
Filed under: uncultured bacterium
Lineage: Bacteria
Description: partial 16S ribosomal RNA
Rfam family: Bacterial small subunit ribosomal RNA
Source: RNAcentral
GACGAACGCUGGCGGCGUGCUUAACACAUGCAAGUCGAACGGAAAGGCCCUGCUUUUGUGGGGUGCUCGAGUGGCGAACGGGUGAGUAACACGUGAGUAACCUGCCCUUGACUUUGGGAUAACUUCAGGAAACUGGGGCUAAUACCGGAUAGGAGCUCCUGCUGCAUGGUGGGGGUUGGAAAGUUUCGGCGGUUGGGGAUGGACUCGCGGCUUAUCAGCUUGUUGGUGGGGUAGUGGCUUACCAAGGCGUUGACGGGUAGCCGGCCUGAGAGGGUGACCGGCCACAUUAGGACUGCGAUAGGGCCCAGACUCCUACGGGAGGCAGCAGUGGGGAAUAUUGCACAAUGGGCGGAAGCCUGAUGCAGCAACGCCGCGUGCGGGAUGACGGCCUUCGGGUUGUAAACCGAUUUCGCCUGUGACGAAGCGUGAGUGACGGUAACGGGUAAAGAAGCACCGGCUAACUACGUG